RNAcentral lists this ribosomal RNA (440 nucleotides) under uncultured bacterium. Its description in RNAcentral is "partial 16S ribosomal RNA". It matches the Rfam family "Bacterial small subunit ribosomal RNA", at positions 338 to 795 of the family's 1533-position model. The record is from RNAcentral.
CCUACGGGUGGCUGCAGUGGGGAAUAUUGGACAAUGGGCGAAAGCCUGAUCCAGCAAUGCCGCGUGAGUGAUGAAGGCCUUAGGGUUGUAAAGCUCUUUUACCAGGGAUGAUAAUGACAGUACCUGGAGAAUAAGCUCCGGCUAACUCCGUGCCAGCAGCCGCGGUAAUACGGAGGGAGCUAGCGUUGUUCGGAAUUACUGGGCGUAAAGCGCACGUAGGCGGUUUUUCAAGUCAGGGGUGAAAGCCCGGAGCUCAACUCCGGAAUUGCCCUUGAAACUGGAUGGCUAGAAUCUUGGAGAGGUCAGUGGAAUUCCGAGUGUAGAGGUGAAAUUCGUAGAUAUUCGGAAGAACACCAGUGGCGAAGGCGACUGACUGGACAAGUAUUGACGCUGAGGUGCGAAAGCGUGGGGAGCAAACAGGAUUAGAUACCCGGGUAGUC